RNAcentral lists this ribosomal RNA (497 nucleotides) under Amphisbaena munoai. RNAcentral describes it as "partial 16S ribosomal RNA". It matches the Rfam family "Bacterial large subunit ribosomal RNA", at positions 1857 to 2619 of the family's 2925-position model. The record is from RNAcentral. Lineage: Eukaryota; Metazoa; Chordata; Lepidosauria; Squamata; Amphisbaenidae.
GCCUGCCCAGUGAUUAUAUUUAACGGCCGCGGUAUCCUAACCGUGCAAAGGUAGCGCAAUCACUUGUUCUUUAAAUGAGGACUAGUAUGAAGGGCGCCAUGAGGAUCAACUUGUCUCUCGUGAUAAGUCUACGAAACUGAUCUCCCAGUACAAAAGCUGGGAUAAACCCACAAGACGAGAAGACCCUGUGGAGCUUCAAACAACGGCUCACCCAAAAUGACGCCAUAGUUUUUAGUUGGGGCGACUUUGGAGAAAAACAAAACCUCCAAACUAUAAACCUAGGCUGACACGCCUAGUAAUACAACCCGUAUGACCCAAUAUAAUUGAUCAAUGAACCAAGUUACCCCAGGGAUAACAGCGCAAUCUUCUUCUAGAGUCCCUAUCGACAAGAAGGUUUACGACCUCGAUGUUGGAUCCGGAUACCCAAAUAGUGCAGCCGCCAUUAAAGGUUCGUUUGUUCAACGAUUAAUAUCCUACGUGAUCUGAGUUCAGACCGG